CCCACACCACCACCAGAGCUGUUAUCAUCUUCCUGUCUUCCAUCUGACUGCGCUACGGAGUUUUCCACAGACGCAUAUAUACUUUGUUGAGCUUUCUCUCAUGCUCAUGGAAUACAGAUGGCAUGAAGGAAGCACUGCAUUCUGAUUCUACUAUUAAAGCAUUUGUCAUAAUUGCAUAUAAAAAUAAAUAGUUAUUUUACUAUCUCAGUAGGUGGUAGUAGAAUAUCCAAAAUAUAAGAUAUACAGUAGAUAACUUUUUCUGUGAAAUGCUAUAUCUGAUAAAUCUGGCAGCCGCAGCUGGAGUUCAUAAUAUCUCCCCAUUACUUAAUCUAAAAGUGACAUGGGAGUUGCACAGUAGUAGAUGGUGUGUGGGAUAUUGUGUGCUGAGGACAGGCAGCAUUUGUCACUGGAAAUAGGGAGUGGAGUUUAGGUCUGUCCACAAUCUUUCUGUGGCUUUAUACUGUAAAUGUACAAGAAAAUAAAAUGUCUAGCCUGUGUGAAA
Portunus trituberculatus (swimming crab) is the source of this 502-nucleotide long non-coding RNA. RefSeq lists it as uncharacterized. Lineage: Eukaryota; Metazoa; Arthropoda; Malacostraca; Decapoda; Portunidae. The transcript is spliced from 2 exons. The record is from RefSeq and is a predicted model, not a curated record.